GUGCCAGCAGCCGCGGUAAUACAGAGGGUGCAAGCGUUAAUCGGAGUUACUGGGCGUAAAGGGCGCGUAGGCGGUGAUAUGAGUGUGGUGUGAAAGCCCCGGGCUUAACCUGGGAAGUGCAUCGCAAACGAUAUGACUAGAGUAGAUGAGAGGGUGGCGGAAUUUCCGGUGUAGCGGUGAAAUGCGUAGAGAUCGGAAGGAACGUCAAUGGCGAAGGCAGCCACCUGGCAUCAUACUGACGCUGAGGCGCGAAAGCGUGGGGAGCGAACAGGAUUAGAAACCCCUGUAGUCC
This 292-nucleotide ribosomal RNA is filed under the name uncultured bacterium. RNAcentral's name for it is "partial 16S ribosomal RNA". It matches the Rfam family "Bacterial small subunit ribosomal RNA", at positions 505 to 796 of the family's 1533-position model. The record is from RNAcentral.